GACGAACGCUGGCGGCGUGCUUAACACAUGCAAGUCGAACGGAAAGGCCCUGCUUUUGUGGGGUGCUCGAGUGGCGAACGGGUGAGUAACACGUGAGUAACCUGCCCUUGACUUUGGGAUAACUUCAGGAAACUGGGGCUAAUACCGGAUAGGAGCUCCUGCUGCAUGGUGGGGGUUGGAAAGUUUCGGCGGUUGGGGAUGGACUCGCGGCUUAUCAGCUUGUUGGUGGGGUAGUGGCUUACCAAGGCUUUGACGGGUAGCCGGCCUGAGAGGGUGACCGGGCACACUGGGACUGAGAUACGGCCCAGAAUCCUAAGGGAGGCAGCAGUGGGGAAUAUUGCACAAUGGGCGGAAGCCUGAUGCAGGAACGCCGCGUGCGGGAUGACGGCCUUCGGGUUGUAAACCGCUUUCGCCUGUGACGAAGCGUGAGUGACGGUAAUGGGUAAAGAAGCACCGGCUAACUACGUG
This 468-nucleotide ribosomal RNA is filed under the name uncultured bacterium. RNAcentral's name for it is "partial 16S ribosomal RNA". It matches the Rfam family "Bacterial small subunit ribosomal RNA", at positions 28 to 507 of the family's 1533-position model. The record is from RNAcentral.